UGAAAUGCGAUAAGUAAUGUGAAUUGCAGAAUCUCGUGAAUCAUUGAAUCUUUGAACGCAUAUUGCGCCUUAUGGUAUUCCGUAAGGCAUGCCUGUCUGAGCGUUAACUACCCUCCACUUCAAGUCUUCUUUUAGCUUGGAUUGUUUUAGACAAGCCAUCAUUUUAUAACAUGAAUGUUGGCUGUCUAGAAAUAUAUAGGCAGUAUAAAGGCUUUCUGUACUGGACGUAAUAAGAAAUAAAAUUAAGCAUUCAUAUGAAGCCUAUUGUGCUUGUCUUCAACUCAUAUUUUUUCUUAGGUAACCUCAGAUCAGGUAGGGAUACCCGCUGAACUUAA
RNAcentral lists this unclassified non-coding RNA (335 nucleotides) under uncultured Pezizomycetes. Its description in RNAcentral is "sequence contains ITS1". The stretch from base 1 to 106 matches the Rfam family "5.8S ribosomal RNA", at positions 49 to 154 of the family's 154-position model. The record is from RNAcentral. Lineage: Eukaryota; Fungi; Ascomycota; Pezizomycetes.